Molecule: non-coding RNA, 4753 nt
Organism: Lolium perenne
Lineage: Eukaryota; Viridiplantae; Streptophyta; Magnoliopsida; Poales; Poaceae
Source: RefSeq, a predicted model, not a curated record
AUCUCACGCGAGGAGCAUGAGCCUCCGCUCGCUAUCAUCCUCCACCACCACAACCACUCCUCCUUUUCCCCAUCCCUUUAAAUCCAUCAGAGGCCCCAAGCAAACCCUAGCCUCUCCCCUCGCGCCGCCAUCUUCUUUUUCCUUCUAAUUCAUCUCUGUGUACACCACCGAGCGCCACCACCACAAGCUCGCCGUCGCGCCACCGUUCUAUACAACCCCGCGUCCAACCAACGCCACCAGGAGCUGCGUCUCGUCGCCAAGAUCUUCCUCGCCCAAGGAAUCAUCCGGGGGCGCCUCGUACCGACAGCAAAUCGCGGAUUCUUCUUCGACUCCGGCGAGGAAAUCAACGUUUUUCGUCGCCACUGCUUCGUCCCCGUCUCCAUCGAGCGCUCCGCUGUUUUCCUGGUUAGCUGGCGCGCCUUAUCCCCCACUUCCCCGAGCUGGUUGAUCACUUCAUGUCGUCCCUUAUUUUUGUCGAAACCUAACGGCUCUCCUUGUGCCCGAGGUCGCCACCAUGUCCGUCGUCUCCGUCCGCGGUGACCCUCCAACCCGUGCGUGUUCCUGGCGUCUGCGUCUCCGACUCGUAUGACUACAGCAGCAACCUCCCGUGCUUUGCUUCUUCACGGGUAGGAUCACGAAGUGUUGAUGUGAGAUACGACGAGUUCUCCGACAAGUUCUUCUGCAGCAUUUCACAGACGAGCCCUCUCUCUUCACCUAUUAUACACUCUCCCUCGCAUUGCUAUCCUUAUGUUGCGCUUCUUUAUCGAGUCACGUGUCCUAUUCCACUUGUUUACCAUAAUAAUCCUAUAUGUAUCAUUCCUUACCCAUAGCCGUUGCUUGAUGUGUGAGCCUUGCGAGUCGUAGGCGUGUUUAGGCUCUGUUGUUUAUCUCGAUCUGUUAUCGGGAUAUGUUGGGUUGUUGGGAGGUUAUCACAUGCUAUAUCAGUUGUUGGAGAUACACAUGCUUUACUUAACUGUUAACAACUAAAAUUGUAAGCAGAGGCAUCUGUGAGCCCCUUUGCGAAAGCAUCGGAACUUUGACUUGCUAAUGUCCCCUAGGACCCGAGUUUUUGUUAUCUGUUCCGAGAUUGAGCGCUCUACCCGUACGUGGGGGAAUGGGACCCCCAUCACCCACUACCUUUUCUCGAUUCUGUUUACUGGGAGCUACAACCUUGGUUUUAUUUGCUCAUAUGCACGAUGCACGAUUUACUUCCUGUUGCCUUCGGGUGUUUAUAUUCUGUACUGUACUCAUAUUGCGUGCCGACUUAUCCUUGGCCGGUCGUUAGUGCCCGCCUUGGACGCCAUCGCAACCUCUGGGUCCGUAUCGGAGUACGGCCGAACUUCGUCACGGGAAGCUUAGUUGGGUGGCUCCCAUUAAACUUUCUCUUGCAUUGGGAACGGUCUUGUUGUGAGACUCCACCUGUAGCAAGUGGGUUCGAGCAUGCGUAUGGUUACAUUUGGGCAACCCCUGCAGGAUGUACAUCUUAUCGAUAAGCCGUGUCCGCGGUUAUGGACGACUUGGAAUUGUAUAGCUUGAUCAUAGAACAACUUACACCUUUAUGUUGUUGAUAAUAAUUUGCUAAUAACUUGAUUAGUAAUAUAGCAUUACUACAACCGAUACCUAAUAAAACUUGUCCACCGUUGAGUGCCUUUUACAUUGCCUCUUCGCAAUUGUUGGAGGGGAUAUGUGUAAUCGGCUGGGUUAUGUUUGUGUGGUAUUUAUCUGUUACCUUGUGCGCUCUCUUAUCUUAUCUGAUUAGACGGAUGUUGUAGCGUGUCUCUAUUGGUUAUAGUUUUGCUGCCGCUAAACCUACCAUAUAGCCCCCGGCGAUAUAUAUAUUAUACUCGCCCGGCGAGCAUAGCCAUUUCUAGUCUCGCUAAGUACGUGCCGGAGUUCGUUCCUUGGUACUUACUCUCGCCUUUUCCCCUUUCUCUUUUGCUUCCUCCCUCUUGUCGGCAACCGAUGGCCCGACUUUGACAGGUACAAGAUGACGACGUUAGCAAGGUUACCCUUCCGGUUUGGCCUGGGCAGGGUUAUGGACGCCACUGGUUAUCUUCAGGACUCUUAGUCCAAUUUGUAUCUUGUCCGUACUCGGACGUAUUCGAUCAUCUGUAUGAUUUGGAUCUUUGUAUUGUAUAUUUGUAUCUUGACUCGUUGGAGUCGUUGUUGUAAUAUAUGUAUCUUGUGGGCUCUAUUGUAAUCCUGUUGUAAUGUUACCGCUCGUGUUAAUUCCUCUGGCAUCACGUGUGUGAUUCGUCGCGCACGUCGUGUCGGAGGGCGUCUCAGAAUCGAUAUCGUGCGGAUUUCGGCGGGAUCACUGGAAUCCUCAGGAUACCGGUUUCGGGGCGUCACAAGUUGGUAUCAGAGCUCAGGUUGACGGUACCCCAAUAGUCCAGCCUGUAGGAUAACCUUGCCAACGGACGUUGUGUCUAGUGUCAAAACUAUUUUUCUGAAAAGUCGUUGGAUAUAUCUGAUUAGCUCUGAAUUUUUCUCCUUACCUAAAUUCUUUCUCCUCUUAUCUUUGCGAGUUUUGAGUCUUCUCUCUUAUCUGCUUCUCCGAGUCUUAGGUUCCGACGUGGGUUGGACGAUCUAUUCCUUCACCUAUUAGGACCGAUCUCUGAAUAUUUCUGAUAGAAGAACAUCACCGACGGCUAACCUUCGUCUUCUCCAUUGAUGUCAUCCAUGCCUCUUUGAUCUCUCUACAAUUCUUUGUUCUUUGGCUCCGUCGAAUCUUCGCUGACAACGCUUGUCGAUAUCGUCAAUCAGAAUUCUGGGAGCUGUUACACGACUCUCCUAUUCAUGUGCAGAGUAAUACUUUGAGUGCGGGAUGGGCUGAUCACCAUACCGACUACUCUUAUUAUUCGCUCUUGUUACGAUGAAUUGGUGGAUCCGUGCGACUGUUACGCCUUUCUUUGUUUCUCCGGAGUUAUCAUCAUCAUCGGAACAACGACUUCUUGUUGGUGGUGUCGACCGUUCUACAUGGAGCAAGAACUCUUGUUAGUGGUGUCGAGGAGAUCGACACGUCGCCAAAAGAUCCGAUAUUUCACCUCUCUCCCCCGUACCUUGAGGUGGAACCUCGGGGCGAGGUUCCUUGUUAGUGGUGUCGAUUGUAACGACCCGGAAAAAAAACCUAAUAUUAGUUUUUCUCCGCCUUAUUUUUCCGUGCCGUUCCAAAGUCAUCAUCAUGCAUACAUCAUAAAAAAUGAAUUUUUACAAAAUGAAAUUUAUUUGCAAAUAAAAGUAUUUAGUAGUUUCUUCUCAUAUGGUUCUAGAAAACCCUCCUCUCUCAUAUUUCUUAUUUUAGUUAAAACCAAAACAAAUAUUUUGGAACUUUGCAAAGUUAUUCUAAAACCAAAAUCUAGUUUUUCAAAUCUGUCAAAAUCCUCCUCUAGUCCUUUUGUUUGGCUGGAAGUUUUCAGCAAGAAAAGAAGAGAAGAAGUAGCAACCAGCGACCCAACUACCUGACCGACUUUUUCUCCAACGAAGCAACCCACCUAAGGCUCAGUACCUUUUCUACACGAGGAAGUUCCUGUGGCUUUAUUCUCCAUCUCACGCGAGGAGCAUGAGCCUCCGCUCGCUAUCAUCCUCCACCACCACAACCACUCCUCCUUUUCCCUAUCCCUUUAAAUCCAUCAGAGGCCCCAAGCAAACCCUAGCCUCUCCCCUCGCGCCGCCAUCUUCUUUUUCCUUCCAAUUCAUCUCUGUGUACACCACCGAGCGCCACCACCACAAGCUCGCCGUCGCGCCACCGUUCUAUACAACCCCGCGUCCAACCAACGCCACCAGGAGCUGCGUCUCGUCGCCAAGAUCUUCCUCGCCCAAGGAAUCAUCCGGGGGCGCCUCGUACCGACAGCAAAUCGCGGAUUCUUCUUCGACUCCGGCGAGGAAAUCAACGUUUUUCGUCGCCACUGCUUCGUCCCCGUCUCCAUCGAGCGCUCCGCUGUUUUCCUGGUUAGCUGGCGCGCCUUAUCCCCCACUUCCCCGAGCUGGUUGAUCACUUCAUGUCGUCCCUUAUUUUUGUCGAAACCUAACGGCUCUCCUUGUGCCCGAGGUCGCCACCAUGUCCGUCGUCUCCGUCCGCGGUGACCCUCCAACCCGUGCGUGUUCCUGGCGUCUGCGUCUCCGACUCGUAUGACUACAGCAGCAACCUCCCGCGAGUCGUCAGCUCAGGCCGCGCGUUUGCGCCAGCUCGUGCCCUCCUAGGCUUGCUCUAUCACGGCGCCCCUUCUCAAUACAUGAAUCAACUAUAGUCAGCACGUCUGCUCCCUCGUCCGUUGUAUUGUUGAUCAGUGCUUUGCUUCUUCACGGGUAGGAUCACGAAGUGUUGAUGUGAGAUACGACGAGUUCUCCGACAAGUUCUUCUGCAGCAUUUCACAGGCGAGCCCUCUCUCUUCACCUAUUAUACACUCUCCCUCGCAUUGCUAUCCUUAUGUUGCGCUUCUUUAUCGAGUCACGUGUCCUAUUCCACUUGUUUACCAUAAUAAUCCUAUAUGUCUCAUUCCUUACCCAUAGCCGUUGCUUGAUGUGUGAGCCUUGCGAGUCGUAGGCGUGUUUAGGCUCUGUUGUUUAUCUCGAUCUGUUAUCGGGAUAUGUUGGGUUGUUGGGAGGUUAUCACAUGCUAUAUCAGUUGUUGGAGAUACACAUGCUUUACUUAACUGUUAACAACUAAAAUUGUAAGCGGAGGCAUCUGUGAGCCCCUUUGCGAAAGCAUCGGAACUUUGACUUGCUAAUGUCCUGAUGUAGCCCCGCUCAC